CCUGAGUCAUCCUAAACACAGGGGUCAAAAGGGAUGAAUUAUACAGUAACCAUAUUCACUUAGGUUUUGAGUAUUGCGAUUGCGACUAUUCGACCUAUCCGGAUGUCGGGUACCAUUGCUAGUUGAUCACUUCGAUUAGUACAGGAAUUGGUUCCUAUGCUACCAGUUUAAGUUCGAACCUGCGGGGUCACACACAUUAGAGGUUCCUAUCUGAUCUGAUG
RNAcentral lists this long non-coding RNA (221 nucleotides) under Elaeis guineensis (African oil palm). RNAcentral describes it as "long non-coding RNA (EGUI_LNC068117)". Lineage: Eukaryota; Viridiplantae; Streptophyta; Magnoliopsida; Arecales; Arecaceae. The record is from RNAcentral.